UAGCGAAGCAUCUACAGUACUUCUUAGUGUGUACUAGAUAACCAAGGAAGGCGAGGCAAGGAUGCCGAAUUGAAGGUGGUUCCGUAAUGUUUUGAUAACUUACCGUACACACUUAGAAGUACUUAGAUGUGUAGCGU
Regulatory RNA element from Anaerosporobacter mobilis DSM 15930, 137 nucleotides. Lineage: Bacteria; Bacillati; Bacillota; Clostridia; Lachnospirales; Lachnospiraceae. The record is from Rfam.